This 601-nucleotide ribosomal RNA is filed under the name uncultured archaeon. Its description in RNAcentral is "bacterial SSU rRNA". It matches the Rfam family "Archaeal small subunit ribosomal RNA", at positions 319 to 923 of the family's 1478-position model. The record is from RNAcentral.
UCCCUAUGGGGUGCAGCAGGCGCGAAACCUCCUCAAUGCACUAACGUGCGAAGGGGUUACCUCGAGUGCUAUCUGAAGAAGGUGGCUUUUCCUUGGUCUAAAAAGCCUUGGGAAUAAGAGGGGGGCAAGACUGGUGUCAGCCGCCGCGGUAACACCAGCCCCUCGAGUGGUGGGGAUGAUUAUUUGGCCUAAAGCGUCCGUAGCCGGCCGGAUAAGUUUCCCGUUAAAUCCAGCGUCUCAAGCGUUGGACUGCGGGAAAUACUGUCUGGCUAGAGAGUGGGAGAGGUCAGCGGUAUUCUGGGGGUAGGGGCGAAAUCCUUUGAUCCCCGGAGGACCACCAGUGGCGAAGGCUGCUGACUAGAACACGUCUGACGGUCAGGGACGAAAGCUGGGGUAGCGAACCGGAUUAGAUACCCGGGUAGUCCCAGCCGUAAACGAUGCAUGCUAGGUGUUGGGUUGGCCACGAGCCACCCCAGUGCCGCAGGGAAGCCGUUAAGCAUGCCGCCUGGGAAGUACGAUCGCAAGGUUGAAACUUAAAGGAAUUGGCGGGGGAGCACCACCAGGCGUGAAGCCUGCGGUUUAAUUGGAGUCAACGCCGGAA